Long non-coding RNA from Cyprinus carpio (common carp), 522 nucleotides. RefSeq lists it as uncharacterized. NCBI's taxonomy places the organism in Eukaryota, Metazoa, Chordata, Actinopteri, Cypriniformes, Cyprinidae. The transcript is spliced from 3 exons. The record is from RefSeq and is a predicted model, not a curated record.
CACAUUCAGCACUCAUCUAUAAAUAGGCUACACACACAGGGAUGCGCUCCUACAUUUACAAACAAAGCUCUGUGAUUGGCUCGCAGGCGGAGCACACUGGGAUGAGGACGUACUAUUUCCGUGCGGACACACAGGAGGACAUGAAUGGCUGGGGCGAGGGCCAUGAACCAGGCUGCACUGAUGCAAAACCCACACAGUGAAGAGAGACGAGUCGGAUCAACCAGACCAAGUGAACGUUUCUGAGAAACUCAAGCAGCAGGCUGUUCCUCAGACCAACCACAUCAACAGCUUUGUGAUUCCAGAACCUGAAGUUAUCCAAAGUGACGAGCUGCAGGAGGAGAAGCAGGAAGCAUUUGUUGGAGAAGUGGAGAUUCAGGUUGCUCCAAGAGAGAUGGAGCAGGCGAGGGGUAAAUCUCCAGCGAGCAGGAUAGUAGAGGUGGAGGUUUUAGCUCCAGGGUCAGCACCAGCAUCCCAAGUUCCCUCUCGAGCUCCUUCCAGGGCCGUCUCGACCCCGCCAGUGCU